RNAcentral lists this ribosomal RNA (482 nucleotides) under uncultured bacterium. Its description in RNAcentral is "partial 16S ribosomal RNA". It matches the Rfam family "Bacterial small subunit ribosomal RNA", at positions 30 to 507 of the family's 1533-position model. The record is from RNAcentral.
AUUGAACGCUGGCGGCAUGAUUUACACAUGCAAGUCGAACGGUAACAGGCCGCAAGGUGCUGACGAGUGGCGAACGGGUGAGUAAUGCAUCGGAACGUGCCCAGUCGUGGGGGAUAACUACUCGAAAGAGUAGCUAAUACCGCAUACGAUCUAUGGAUGAAAGCGGGGGACCGUAAGGCCUCGCGCGAUUGGAGCGGCCGAUGUCAGAUUAGGUAGUUGGUGGGGUAAAGGCUCACCAAGCCAACGAUCUGUAGCUGGUCUGAGAGGACGACCAGCCACACUGGGGCUGAGACACGGCCCAGACUCCUACGGGAGGCAGCAGUGGGGAAUUUUGGACAAUGGGCGCAAGCCUGAUCCAGCAAUGCCGCGUGCAGGAAGAAGGCCUUCGGGUUGUAAACUGCUUUUGUACGGAACGAAACGGCUCUGGUUAAUACCCGGGGCUAAUGACGGUACCGUAAGAAUAAGCACCGGCUAACUACGUG